GACGAACGCUGGCGGCGUGCUUAACACAUGCAAGUCGAACGGAAAGGCCCUGCUUUUGUGGGGUGCUCGAGUGGCGAACGGGUGAGUAACACGUGAGUAACCUGCCCUUGACUUUGGGAUAACUUCAGGAAACUGGGGCUAAUACCGGAUAGGAGCUCCUGCUGCAUGGUGGGGGUUGGAAAGUUUCGGCGGUUGGGGAUGGACUCGCGGCUUAUCAGCUUGUUGGUGGGGUAGUGGCUUACCAAGGCUUUGACGGGUAGCCGGCCUGGGAGGGUGGCCGGCCACAUUGGGACUGAGAUACGGCCCAGACGCCUACGGGAGGCAGCAGUGGGGAAUAUUGCACAAUGGGCGGAAGCCUGAUGCAGCAACGCCGCGUGCGGGAUGACGGCCUUCGGGUUGUAAACCGCUUUCGCCUGUGACGAAGCGUGAGUGACGGUAAUGGGUAAAGAAGCACCGGCUAACUACGUG
Molecule: ribosomal RNA, 468 nt
Filed under: uncultured bacterium
Lineage: Bacteria
Description: partial 16S ribosomal RNA
Rfam family: Bacterial small subunit ribosomal RNA
Source: RNAcentral